RNAcentral lists this long non-coding RNA (2189 nucleotides) under Solanum tuberosum (potato). RNAcentral's name for it is "long non-coding RNA (STUB_LNC011738)". The record is from RNAcentral. Lineage: Eukaryota; Viridiplantae; Streptophyta; Magnoliopsida; Solanales; Solanaceae.
CAAACGUUCAUUUCAGGGCAGUCACGAAUUUUCACUCCUCUGAAAAAUGGAAAUUCAGUAACAGGAUUUGUUAGAAAGAAAUGCCUCAGCUUAGGCAGUUCUUCAAGCUCCAACUUUUCCAACAGGGGAAAUAAGGUCAUGAUUUCUUCUCCUUGUUGUUCCUCUUCUGUGAUCACUUCUUCCAUUGACACACAAUUGUCUAUUAAUAUUCUUCGUAGAUUCAGUGCACCCCGAGCCACUGAUGGAGACAUCAAGUUUCUCAACUUUCCACAAUCCGAUACAUGCAAUGUUUCAAGUUUGCUGAAGUAGGCAGUUGGAAGUUGGUGAGAGCAUAGAGCACUUAUGCUUUCAAGUUUCCUGAUGAUUAGCUGGUGAGAGCAUAGAGCACUUAUGCUUUUAAGUUUCCUGAUGAUUAGCUCUUUCAAGUUAGGACAAGAAACCUGCAAACGUUGAAGUAUUAUAAAGCAAUUCAGAAUUUAAAAUUUAUAGAUAUCUCUAAUGAACUCAGGUUAAUAUCCAAUAACAAUCGCGUUCACAAUCAAGGAAUCUCUAGAUAUUACUAAUACAGAUUAAAGUCUCUAGGAAAAAGCUAUUAGAUUCACGUGAACCCUUGAGUUACAAUAUUGUAGCUUCGCUUAUAUUUCUUACCUCCGUUUACAUAGAUAUCAGGUGGCAAACAGAAAUAACUGUAUGAAAAUAUUACUAUUACUAUUAUUAUUUGCUAGUUAAAAUGGAAAGAUAGCAACAUACCAGGGGUGUAUUAAUGUAUGACACAAAUAUAUAUAGUAUUUAGUUAUAAAGCUAACGGCACAAGACAAACCUUAGAAUUGAACAUUGCUUUAUUGAGAUCAACUACUUUCACCUCAUCAGCAUUGUUCACACUUUCGAGACUCAGCGUACUCACAGAUAUUCCCUGUUGGACAAACAUCUUCAUUUCAUGGCAGUCACGAAUUCUCAAUUCUCUGAGAAAUGGAAAUUCAGUAACAUGCUUUGUCAAAAAGAAAUGCCUCAGCUUACGCAGUUCUUUAAGCUCCAACUUUUCCAACAGGGGAAAUAAGGUCAUGAUUUCUUCUCCUUGUUGUUCCUCUUCUGUGAUCACUUCUUCUAUCGACACACAAUUGUCUAUUAAUAUUCUUCGUAGAUUCAGUGCACCCCGAGCCACUGAUGGAGACAUCAAGUUUCUCAAGUUUCCACAAUCCGAUACAUACAAUGUUUCAAGUUUGUUGAAGUAGGCAGUUGGAAGUUGGUGAGAGCAUAGAGCACUUAUGCUUUUAAGUUUCCUGAUGAUUAGCUCUUUCAAGUUAGGACAAGAAACCUGCAAACGUUGAAGUAUGAUAAAGCAAUUCAGAAUUUGAAAUUUAUAGAUAUCUCUAAUGAUCUCAGGUUAAUAUCCAAUAACAAUCGCGUUCACAAUCAAGGAAUCUCUAGAUAUUACUAAUACAGAUUAAAGUCUCUAGGAAAAAGCUAUUAGAUUCACGUGAACCCUUGAGUUACAAUAUUGUAGCUUCGCUUAUAUUUCUUACCUCCGUUUACAUAGAUAUCAGGUGGCAAACAGAAAUAACUAUAUGAAAAUAUUACUAUUACUAUUAUUAUUUGCUAGUUAAAAUGGAAAGAUAGCAACACACCAGGGGUGUAUUAAUGUAUGACACAAAUAUAUAUAGUAUUUAGUUAUAAAGCUAACGGCACAAGACAAACCUUAGAAUUGAACAUUGCUUUAUUGAGAUCAACUACUUUCACCUCAUCAGCAUUGUUCACACUUUCGAGACUCAGCGUACUCACAGAUAUUCCCUGUUGGACAAACAUCUUCAUUUCAUGGCAGUCAUGAAUUCUCAAUUCUCUGAGAAAUGGAAAUUCAGUAACACGCUUUGUCAAAAAGAAAUGCCUCAGCUUACGCAGUUCUUUAAGCUCCAACUUUUCCAAUAGGGGAAAUAAGGUCAUGAUUUCUUCUCCUUGUUGUUCCUCUUCUGUGAUCACUUCUUCCAUUGACACACAAUUGUGUAUUAAUAUUCUUCGUAGAUUCAGUGCACCCCGAGCCACUGAUGUUGACAUCAAGUUUCUCAAGUUUCCACAACUCGAUACAUACAAUAUUUCAAGUUUGCUGAAGUAGGCAGUUGGAAGUUGGUGAGAGCAUAGAGCAGUUAUGCUUUUAAGUGUCCAGAUGGUUAGAUCUUUCAAGUUGGGACAAGAAA